ACUCCUACGGGAGGCAGCAGUGGGGAAUAUUGCACAAUGGGGGAAACCCUGAUGCAGCCAUGCCGCGUGUGUGAAGAAGGCCUUCGGGUUGUAAAGCACUUUCAGUAGGGAGGAAGGUAGUNUAGUUAACAUACCUGCAUUUAUUUGACGUUUACCUACAGAAGAAGCACCGGCUAACUCCGUGCCAGCAGCCGCGGUAAUACGGAGGGUGCGAGCGUUAAUCGGAAUUACUGGGCGUAAAGCGCAUGCAGG
This 252-nucleotide ribosomal RNA is filed under the name uncultured bacterium. RNAcentral's name for it is "partial 16S ribosomal RNA". It matches the Rfam family "Bacterial small subunit ribosomal RNA", at positions 335 to 575 of the family's 1533-position model. The record is from RNAcentral.